UACAUGUAACCCUGAUGUUAUUUUUCAUUGUCUGUAUUUACUGAGAGUGAAAUUAUGAUAAAAUGUUUUAUUUUAUUUAUUUUUCAUUUGAAAUAUGUUUGUUUAAUAUGUAUUGUUUUUACUUUCCUUUAUUAGAGUUUGGUUGGGGAGUACAUGCGAAAAACGUGGCAAACAUCAUUUUGGGUUGUAAGUUGAUGUACAUUGGACAGAUAAGAGACUGACAAGUUUGUGAGCCAAUCAGAUUUUUCCGAGGAGAAAGGAGACGGGAGGAAAAAAGUUUGAGAAAAGACAGCAAGAAGACGAGAGAAAGGAGAGGGAGAAAGACGCGAGUUUAACGAUAUCUUUGAGUGUUUAAAACGAGAAGCUUUCCUGUAAUCAGAAGUACUGCUCGUAUUUCUUCACUAAGGAGGCGGCUCGUUAUGACUGUGGACUGUUUCAUGUAAGUUUGCAGUUGCAUGUUUGGCUCGGCCAGAGUUGAACGCUGUGCAUGUUGGCAUACUUUCUAGACGGAAACUGUUGUUGUCAUCUGCUUAAACCGAGCGGAGUUUCAAGAAAUAUAACGCAGACUUUUGUUUCCCGGGAGGAAAAUGUUGGUGAGCAUCGUCCAGUAACUUCAUGAGAAUUCGACGCGCAAACAGCCACCGCACCUGUUGUAACGUUGCAUGGAGACAUUUCGACACCGGACUCACGACCAUUUCAAUGUGAUGAAAGCAGACGUGUUUCAACGCACACUCGCAACCAGAUUGAGAAGCUUCCCUGAAAACGUGUUUUGAAGCAGAUGCACGGAACAUACUGCUCACACAGAUUUGACCAACCGGGUUCCAAACCGGACUGCAAACGUUCUGCACAGUUGCCAUAGAAACCCUCGGCCAAGCCCACAAUCCAUAACACAAUAUGGCUGACUUUUCUCAGUUGGCUGUUGUUCUGCAGAAAAGCCACUUGAAAGACUGACAAACUAUUUCUUCCAUAAUGAGCCACAAUCACUCAGUCAAGCAUGAAAGCUAUAAUUAGCAUAAAUAUAACUUAUGAGCAUCCAUAAUGCAAAAUGAUGCUGUUACAUCUCGAGAGCACCUCUAAUUUCAG
Cyprinus carpio carpio is the source of this 1083-nucleotide long non-coding RNA. The record is from Ensembl. Lineage: Eukaryota; Metazoa; Chordata; Actinopteri; Cypriniformes; Cyprinidae.